UUGAAAUUGAAAUUGGACUUUAGUCGCGCAGCAUAGGUGGGAAGCGUUGAGCAUAUUCUUGCGGGAAUAUAGGAGCUAUCAGUGAGAUACCACUCUUCUAAUGUUAGAUUUCUAACCUUGAACCAUUAUCUGGUCAAGGAACAGUUUCAGGCGGGCAGUUUGACUGGGGCGGUCGCCUCCUAAAUGGUAACGGAGGCGCACAAAGGUUUCCUCAGAUCGGUCAGAAAUCGAUCGUAGAGCGUAAAGGCAUAAGGAAGCUUGACUGCGAGACUUACAAGUCGAGCAGAGACGAAAGUCGGUCUUAGUGAUCUGACGGUUCCGAGUGGAAGGGCCGUCACUCAACGGAUAAAAGUUACUCUAGGGAUAACAGGCUGAUCUCCCCCAAGAGUUCACAUCGACGGGGAGGUUUGGCACCUCGAUGUCGGCUCAUCGCAUCCUGGGGCGGUAGUACGUCCCAAGGGUUGGGCUGUUCGCCCAUUAAAGUGGCACGCGAGCUGGGUUCAGAACGUC
Molecule: ribosomal RNA, 510 nt
Filed under: Extubocellulus spinifer
Lineage: Eukaryota; Bacillariophyta; Thalassiosirophyceae; Cymatosirales; Cymatosiraceae
Description: partial Bacterial large subunit ribosomal RNA
Rfam family: Bacterial large subunit ribosomal RNA
Source: RNAcentral